This 253-nucleotide ribosomal RNA is filed under the name uncultured bacterium. RNAcentral describes it as "partial 16S ribosomal RNA". It matches the Rfam family "Bacterial small subunit ribosomal RNA", at positions 524 to 776 of the family's 1533-position model. The record is from RNAcentral.
UACGGAGGGUGCGAGCGUUGUCCGGAAUCACUGAGCGUAAAGGGCGCGUCGGCGGCCUGAUAAGUAGGGGGUGAAAUCCUGCGGCUUAACCGCAGGGCUGCCUUCUAAACUGUCAGGCUAGAGCACAGUAGAGGCAGGUGGAAUUCCCGGUGUAGCGGAGGAAUGCGUAGAGAUCGGGAAGAACAUCAGUGGCGAAGGCGGCCUGCUGGGCUGUUGCUGACGCUGAGGCGCGACAGCGUGGGGAGCAAACAGG